UGAGGAAUAUUGGUCAAUGGCCGGGAGGCUGAACCAGCCAAGCCGCGUGAAGGAAGACGGCCCUACGGGUUGUAAACUUCUUUUGUCGGGGAACAAAAGGGAGGACGUGUCCUCCUCUGCGGGUACCCGAAGAAAAAGCAUCGGCUAACUCCGUGCCAGCAGCCGCGGUAAUACGGAGGAUGCGAGCGUUAUCCGGAUUUAUUGGGUUUAAAGGGUGCGUAGGCGUUCUGUUAAGUCAGCGGUAAAAGACCGGGGCUCAACCCCGGCAAGCCGUUGAAACUGGCGGACUAGAGACGGAGAGAAGUAAGCGGAAUGCGCAGUGUAGCGGUGAAAUGCAUAGAUAUUGCGCAGAACUCCGAUUGCGAAGGCAGCUUACCGGCUCCGGACUGACGCUGAGGCACGAAAGCGUGGGGAUCAAACAGGAUUAGAUACC
This 433-nucleotide ribosomal RNA is filed under the name uncultured bacterium. Its description in RNAcentral is "bacterial SSU rRNA". It matches the Rfam family "Bacterial small subunit ribosomal RNA", at positions 355 to 786 of the family's 1533-position model. The record is from RNAcentral.